AUUUAUAUAGUAUAAAAAGUAUUUUUGACUUCCAAUCAAAUAGUCUAAUUAUUUUUAGUAUAAAUA
Molecule: transfer RNA, 66 nt
Filed under: Abax parallelepipedus
Lineage: Eukaryota; Metazoa; Arthropoda; Insecta; Coleoptera; Carabidae
Also listed under: 1 other name
Description: tRNA-Gly
Source: RNAcentral